RNAcentral lists this ribosomal RNA (846 nucleotides) under Glaesserella parasuis. Its description in RNAcentral is "partial 23S ribosomal RNA". It matches the Rfam family "Bacterial large subunit ribosomal RNA", at positions 1892 to 2737 of the family's 2925-position model. The record is from RNAcentral. Lineage: Bacteria; Pseudomonadati; Pseudomonadota; Gammaproteobacteria; Pasteurellales; Pasteurellaceae.
AUCGAAAGAGAAGCUCCUGAUCGAAGCCCCAGUAAACGGCGGCCGUAACUAUAACGGUCCUAAGGUAGCGAAAUUCCUUGUCGGGUAAGUUCCGACCUGCACGAAUGGCAUAAUGAUGGCCAGGCUGUCUCCACCCGAGACUCAGUGAAAUUGAAAUCGCCGUGAAGAUGCGGUGUACCCGCGGCUAGACGGAAAGACCCCGUGAACCUUUACUAUAGCUUGACACUGAACAUUGAAUUUUGAUGUGUAGGAUAGGUGGGAGACUAAGAAGCAGGCACGCCAGUGCUUGUGGAGUCGUCCUUGAAAUACCACCCUUUAACGUUUGAUGUUCUAACGAAGAUUACGAAACGUGGUCUCGGACAGUGUCUGGUGGGUAGUUUGACUGGGGCGGUCUCCUCCCAAAGCGUAACGGAGGAGCACGAAGGUUUGCUAAUCACGGUCGGACAUCGUGAGGUUAGUGCAAUGGUAUAAGCAAGCUUAACUGCGAGACAGACAAGUCGAGCAGGUGCGAAAGCAGGUCAUAGUGAUCCGGUGGUUCUGAAUGGAAGGGCCAUCGCUCAACGGAUAAAAGGUACUCCGGGGAUAACAGGCUGAUACCGCCCAAGAGUUCAUAUCGACGGCGGUGUUUGGCACCUCGAUGUCGGCUCAUCACAUCCUGGGGCUGAAGUAGGUCCCAAGGGUAUGGCUGUUCGCCAUUUAAAGUGGUACGCGAGCUGGGUUUAGAACGUCGUGAGACAGUUCGGUCCCUAUCUGCCGUGGGCGUUGGAGAAUUGAGAGGGGCUGCUCCUAGUACGAGAGGACCGGAGUGGACGCAUCACUGGUGUACCAGUUGUCUCGCCAGAGGCA